Molecule: ribosomal RNA, 479 nt
Filed under: uncultured bacterium
Lineage: Bacteria
Description: bacterial SSU rRNA
Rfam family: Bacterial small subunit ribosomal RNA
Source: RNAcentral
ACGAACGCUGGCGGCGUGCCUAACACAUGCAAGUCAACUUGACUGAAGGAGCAAUCUGACAGUAGAGUGGCGCAAGGGUGCGUAACGCGUAAGUAACUUGCCCCAAGGUAAGGAAUAACGUCGAGAAAUCGGCGCUAAUACCUCAUAAUGCGGCGGAUCCGCAUGGAUAUGUUGUUAAAGGUUUACCGCCUUGGGAUAGGCUUGCGUCUGAUUAGCUAGUUGGUGUGGUAACGGCACACCAAGGCUACGAUCAGUAACUGGUCUGAGAGGAUGAUCAGUCACACUGGAACUGAGACACGGUCCAGACUCCUACGGGAGGCAGCAGUGAGGAAUAUUGGGCAAUGCUCGAAAGAGUGACCCAGCAACGCCGCGUGGAGGAUGAAGGUAUUCUAUAUCGUAAACUCCUGUGAGAGCAGACGAAAGACAGAUUAUUAAUCUGGAUGACUGUAUGCUCAGAGGAAGCCCCGGCUAACUACGUG